CGUUAGCGGCGACGGGUGAGUAACACGUGGGUAACCUACCUAUAAGACUGGGAUAACUUCGGGAAACCGGAGCUAAUACCGGAUAANAUUUCGAACCGCAUGGUCCGAUAGUGAAAGAUGGUUUUGCUAUCACUUAUAGAUGGACCCGCGCCGUAUUAGCUAGUUGGUAAGGUAACGGCUUACCAAGGCGACGAUACGUAGCCGACCUGAGAGGGUGAUCGGCCACACUGGAACUGAGACACGGUCCAGACUCCUACGGAGCAGCAGCG
This 269-nucleotide ribosomal RNA is filed under the name uncultured Staphylococcus sp. Its description in RNAcentral is "partial 16S ribosomal RNA". It matches the Rfam family "Bacterial small subunit ribosomal RNA", at positions 90 to 356 of the family's 1533-position model. Lineage: Bacteria; Bacillati; Bacillota; Bacilli; Caryophanales; Staphylococcaceae. The record is from RNAcentral.